Molecule: ribosomal RNA, 497 nt
Filed under: uncultured bacterium
Lineage: Bacteria
Description: partial 16S ribosomal RNA
Rfam family: Bacterial small subunit ribosomal RNA
Source: RNAcentral
GAUGAACGCUGGCGGCGUGCCUAAUACAUGCAAGUCGAGCGAACAGAUGAGGAGCUUGCUCCUCUGACGUUAGCGGCGGACGGGUGAGUAACACGUGGAUAACCUACCUAUAAGACUGGGAUAACUUCGGGAAACCGGAGCUAAUACCGGAUAAUAUAUUGAACCGCAUGGUUCAAUAGUGAAAGACGGUUUUGCUGUCACUUAUAGAUGGAUCCGCGCCGCAUUAGCUAGUUGGUAAGGUAACGGCUUACCAAGGCAACGAUGCGUAGCCGACCUGAGAGGGUGAUCGGCCACACUGGAACUGAGACACGGUCCAGACUCCUACGGGAGGCAGCAGUAGGGAAUCUUCCGCAAUGGGCGAAAGCCUGACGGAGCAACGCCGCGUGAGUGAUGAAGGUCUUCGGAUCGUAAAACUCUGUUAUUAGGGAAGAACAAAUGUGUAUGUAACUAUGCACGUCUUGACGGUACCUAAUCAGAAAGCCACGGCUAACUACGUG